AAGGUUCCGGUUCACGCCAGCGGGCAGGGCGACCCGGCGACC
Actinoplanes sp. N902-109 is the source of this 42-nucleotide regulatory RNA element. It matches the Rfam family "L31-Actinobacteria ribosomal protein leader". The record is from Rfam. Lineage: Bacteria; Bacillati; Actinomycetota; Actinomycetes; Micromonosporales; Micromonosporaceae.